This 254-nucleotide ribosomal RNA is filed under the name uncultured bacterium. Its description in RNAcentral is "partial 16S ribosomal RNA". It matches the Rfam family "Bacterial small subunit ribosomal RNA", at positions 524 to 776 of the family's 1533-position model. The record is from RNAcentral.
GACAGAGGGUGCAAACGUUGUUCGGAAUUACUGGGCGUAAAGCGUGUGUAGGCGGUCCACUAAGUCGGGUGUGAAAGCCCUGGGCUCAACCCAGGAAGUGCACUCGAAACUGGCGGGCUAGAGUAUCGGAGAGGUUGGUGGAAUUCUCGGGUGUAGAGGUGAAAUUCGUAGAUAUCGAGAGGAACACCGGUGGCGAAGGCGGCCAACUGGACGAAUACUGACGCUGAGACACGAAAGCGUGGGGAGCAAACAGG